RNAcentral lists this transfer RNA (85 nucleotides) under Larsenimonas rhizosphaerae. RNAcentral's name for it is "tRNA-Leu". It matches the Rfam family "tRNA". Rfam says of the family: Transfer RNA (tRNA) molecules are approximately 80 nucleotides in length. Their secondary structure includes four short double-helical elements and three loops (D, anti-codon, and T loops). RNAcentral also lists the same sequence under 2 other names. Lineage: Bacteria; Pseudomonadati; Pseudomonadota; Gammaproteobacteria; Oceanospirillales; Halomonadaceae. The record is from RNAcentral.
GCGGGAGUGGUGGAAUUGGUAGACACGCUGGAUUUAGGUUCCAGUGCCGAAAGGUGUGAGAGUUCGAGUCUCUCCUUCCGCACCA